CUGGGUGUGGCGCAGUUGGUAGCGCGCGACUUUUGGGAAGUCGAGGUCGCUGGUUCAAGUCCAGUCACCCAGACCA
RNAcentral lists this transfer RNA (76 nucleotides) under Candidatus Saccharimonadota bacterium. Its description in RNAcentral is "tRNA-Pro". It matches the Rfam family "tRNA". Rfam says of the family: Transfer RNA (tRNA) molecules are approximately 80 nucleotides in length. Their secondary structure includes four short double-helical elements and three loops (D, anti-codon, and T loops). Further hydrogen bonds mediate the characteristic L-shaped molecular structure. tRNAs have two regions of fundamental functional importance: the anti-codon, which is responsible for specific mRNA codon recognition, and the 3' end, to which the tRNAs corresponding amino acid is attached (by aminoacyl-tRNA synthetases). tRNAs cope with the degeneracy of the genetic code in two manners: having more than one tRNA (with a specific anti-codon) for a particular amino acid; and 'wobble' base-pairing, i.e. permitting non-standard base-pairing at the 3rd anti-codon position. Lineage: Bacteria; Candidatus Saccharimonadota. The record is from RNAcentral.